CGGGAGGAGCUAGAGUCUGAUUAUUAGCAGAAUGGUGGUUGAAUUGCAGCAUCCUCUCAGCUUCAAUCUGAAAUUCACCAAGCAAGAAGAGGAAGUCGGUUCAGACAUCAUCACCAGCGAGUCUCCUCACUAUUAUUGCCUCUCAAGUAUUCUCUGUAUGUACGCGUGUUUGAACCUUGAAGGACUAUUUACAUAACUUCAUUUCUUCUACCUGCUUUUCUUCCGUCACCCUUUUUUCUCGUUGCUGGUGUAAUGUUAGCAUUAUUCUUCUUGUUGUACGGUAUCCAUGGUUGCUGAUGUUAUAUAUGCAUGUCCUUCAAAGAUUAUUCUAAAUAUACUAUUGCUUCUAUUAACAAAAGACACCCACAAGAGAAAACCAUAGAGACAAUCUUAGUGCUAGUCUCUUUUUAUGUUGUUGGUCAUUUUCUUUGUUUCUUUCUGCUUUUCCUGGUAAACAGUUACAUAUAUAGCUUGUGCAUCCAAACUAUAUUAUUUCAUUUGUGCAUCCAAUCCACCAAACAGUUAAGGUUUGAUGAUUACUUCCCUUACAUAUUUAAUUUGCAGAUUCUCCAGUGUUAUUUCCAUUGUUAGCAUAAAUUCCUGGCCUCUAUUAUACUUAAUGUCCCAUUCGGUCCACUGGAAUAGGGCUGUGACAUUGGAAAUUUCUGGUAUUUUUGGACAAAUUUUCAGGGACUCUUGGACUCAAUCUAUUCGAUGGAUUAAUUCUUCUAUUUCCAUGAAUCAUUUGGCUCUAGCAAACUCAAACUCCCUGUCUAGUGUGUUCUGGGUGCUAACUACAAUUUAGUGUUAAUAGAGAGUUGAUACCAACCAAGUGGAUGGUCCAGGAAGUAGCUUUCACCCAAAAAUGGUGCAGGUUGGUGUGCCAAAGAAACUACUUUCAACGAAGAUCACUUACAAUGAAUAAGGUAAGAGCCUGGAUGUUGAUUUGGUUUUUGGGUCCUAUUGAGUUCAAGGGGUUUUAUUUUUUAUCUUAGGCCUAGUUGCAUGUUGAGUGAGCCCAACACCAAGUCAUAUAAGGGUGCUUGGACUGGAUUUUGAGUUCAAAAGCAUGUAUGGAAAAUUGGACACCUUUUUCUAUGUUUAGUUAAGCAGAGUUUGUUGUUGGGUCUGUUAUCCUUUGAUAUGAAAGGGGGAAAAAGAAACCAAGAAAGAAUAGUAAAAGAAAAGAAGUAGAGGAGGAAAAAGAAGUGAAAAAAGGAAACAGCUGUUUUUCUCCUUUGCUCCCCCUUUCUCAUUUACUAAUUCUUUGUCAGAACAUUCACAAAUUGAUCCUUGAUUUUCGCAAAUGGAGUUCAAAUCUAAGAAGAGUAGAAUUUUUCUUCGGUAAAUUGUUGAUCUACCUUGAUAUGGCUAAUGCUGUAACUGUGAAGAGCAUGAACUAUACUAAGUAGGGCUUCAUUGUCAUUAUCUCAACUCAUAGGUUGCUUGCCUUCAACAUCAGUUCUUUGAGAAGGAUCUCCAACCAAGAAAAUUCAUAAACACCAUGACCCAUUACUCUAAACUUCAACUGCUUCCUACUUUGUCCAGUUACAAGAUAACACUUAACAAAGUCCAUAUGCCAAUAUGGAUUUUCUACCAACAACAGAACUUGUAUAAUGCAUAUUUAUAAAGGCCUAUAAUAUAGUACUUUGUGAGUAACUCAGCUUCCCAUAAACAACCUCUAGAUGGUGAGAAAGUAGGGAAAUCCAUACAUUGAAUGAUAACAUGCAAGGCAUAAGCAAAUCCCUUGACUAGUGAGAGACAUAGAUCAAUAUUUUCACAAGUCUCUGAUAAAGUCGUGAAUCUGUAGAGGAUUUCUGCCUUGAUCAACUUAAUCUGCAAUUCAUCUUAAUUGGAGUAUUUGAUGGACUGCAUCCUAGUAUCCCCAUUUCUUUCAGCAAUGGUAACUUAUUCCCUCUGAUCAGAAAAACUACUUUUCUCAUAUCAAGCAAUCUCAAUUCCAGAAGAUAUCUUAGGUGCCGACUUAAAACAUUUUUCCUUAGGUAUUCGUUUCACAAGGAAAUCUCAGUUGCAGCGGUAUAUUCCUCCCCACCUUUUUGCUUGACAGAGCAUUAUGUAUGGCCUAUUGUCUGUCUCAAUUGAAGCUUUAACAAACCUCUCAAAUAAUCCUCUUGGAAACUAUUUCAGGUCAUAGAAGUCUUUUUCCAAGUGGCAUAUGGUCUUCUCUCUUCCUGAAGCUUUGAAUCCUAGAGGUUCUCAUAUACUUUUUUGGAAAGAUCACCAUGCAAGGACACAUUCCGUACAGAGGCCAAUCAAGUUAAGUCACCAAUUAUAGAAAAACAUGCUCAGCAAUUCAUUUUGGUAAAUGGAGCAAAGCUCACACAAUAGUCUAUUGUCAUAAGUUUAUAUAAACCCUUAGGCUACCAGUUUAACUUGAUAUUCAUUACUAUUCUAGCCCUGCGUUUCACUAGAAACACCAAUUUGCACACCACAGGCUUUUAUUUGGUAGAGUAAACAACUUCCAAGUUCCAAUAUCCUUCAGGGCUGUCAUCUCUUUAGACAUUGCCUCCCGCCAAAUAGGUAAAUUAGGCUUUUGAGGCACUUUAAGGAAUGGAAACAAAAAAGACAUCAAACCAGAACAGCAACAAAUCUAGUAAAUAAAAAAUCACAGGACACAAAGUUAAUAAGGUAAUGAAUACACAUAAUACAUCUUUUUCUAUGAGCAACAAAAGAUGGAAUUGAAGACUCUUCUUUGAAAAGGAAAAAAGAAAGAGGUAACAUCCUAAACAAAUGUAAAGUCCAUCCUAAUAAAAGGCUGUCUACAGGAAGGAUGAUAGUAGUAGUAUCCUUUUGGUAGAAGAGUAUCCCAAUAGACAAAGAAAAAUAAGGGAUGAUUAGGACAAAAGAGACAAAGUUUGGCAAUUGUAACUCAUGGGAUACAAGUUGAAUAUGAAGAGAAAUAGGACACGACAUACUUUCAAGGCAACAUGAGAAGGAACAUUUACGGUAAAUUAAAAGGAGCAAGUAACUAUGUGGAAAUAAAAAAUUUUCCCCUUCAUAGCUCCAUUUUAUUCAUAGUUGACAUGAUAUUGUUGAUGAAUUAUGGAAUGGUCAGAGCGGUAGAGAGGAGAAAAACCUUGAUAGAUGUUUGAAUCUCAUGAUCAAAUUGAAUUGGACAGCAGUAAUAUUACAAGAGGUAGAAGCCAAUUGAAUGGCAACAAUCUAAUGCUGCAUAAGAGCUCAGACAUUGAUAAAUGUGUUCAAUUCUUGAAUCAGAUUCAGUUGCGGCUGGAACAAUGUUAUGAAACAUACACAGUAGUUUGAUAUGUUGAAAGGAAAGCCUAGGUAACCUGAGGUUAGUUAUUCACAAAUGUUACAAGAGAGCCAUAUCUUAACAAGAUACUAACAGGGGAAGCCCUCCCCAAAUGGGUGUUAGUGUCAACAACAUUAAAAGCAGUACUUCUAUUACCAUACAGAUGCAAAACUUUACAAAAUUUUGACAAACUCAAAAGGUUCAUUCUAAAACUUAGCAAUGGGAUUGAAUUUACUAAAUUUUGGAAAUAAAAGGAAGCAGUAUAGCAAAUAAGGAUGCCAAAAAGAUGAUGUCACUUUAUUAGUUCAAAAUCUUAACUAGAAUUAUAAGAAUUAAAAGUGAAGAAAAUUGACGGUUGGUGCAUCCAAGGUGAAAAUGUCAUGAUCCUUGUGACCAGUCCUAUUCAUCUUCCCUGUUAACAAAUCUUGAAACACAAAAUGGGAGGAGGAAAAGCUGCCAUUGCACAUUUUUACCAAGAAUGGAACAUGAAGAAUAUAUCGUGAGUAUAAGGAGGGGGAGGAUUGACACUGCCUUACUGAAAAUAGAAAAAGGGGAACCGUUUACAAUGAUGUGAUAUAAACAAAUGAACAAAAAGAGAAAGAAAGGACAUGCAUGAUAAGAAGUUUCUUAAUCAAUGAUUCAACCAAUGGGCUAGACAAUUGAGGGAUAAAGGAACUAAGAAUAGAGUAUUGAGGAAUAGAAGAGCUAGUUGUAGAGAAUUGUGGAAUAAAAAUGCUAAGAAUAGAGGAUUGAGGAAUAAAAGAACUAAAAGCAGACGUUGCAAUACAUGAUUAUGCAAAUGAACAAUUAAAAAGCCAUAUUAUAGUGGAGUGUUAUACUGUUGGAAGUUCUUCACCUUUGAAAUAAGCAAACUAACCUGCAGACCAGAAGAAAUUGGUCAAGAAGAGAAGAAAUUAUGAGCGACAUUGUGAGAUGAAUAUCAAAAUCUCUACAGGUUAUCAAAUUAUUCCCUCAACUGUUUGAGUCUUGGAAAUACAUGGACAAAGACUUUUCGCAAUUAGUUCCCUAGGAUGAAUACCAAAAUGCUUGAAUAUUGUCAAAGUAUUGCUCCAACCAGUUAUGGUUUGAGAACUAGAGAACUUCUUACUUUGUUUACACUGAUCAAUACUUUGGCAAAGCUCAUGGAGAGUCACACUCCUUAUUUAGGAAUAGGUUUAGGACACAACAUCUUAUAUCUCAUUAUCAGUCUUUAUAGACAUAAGUACACCAACCUUUCGUUGCCUGGAGAAAAAUAACCAUAAAAUCACUAUUAAGUAUUCUACUCUCCAUAUCUCAAAAGUAAUGUUAUUUGAGUGAGGUUCUUCAAGUUGCACAUUCAAUAACCAAAAUUCCCAUUUCUAUAAGAGGUACAAGUGCUGGUUUAUCUAAAGUCAAGUAAAUUAUCCUGUAUAAUUCUAUUGUAGACAGCUAAACAUUUGAAAUCAUUUGAACCAACCACAUAUCCUUACUCAGAGAAUAGUUUGAUUGGUAGCAGUUCCCAAGUCACUACCACUAAACAUAUUGCCCUAAAAGCACAUAUGCUGGUUUAUCUGAAUUCAAGUAACUUAUCCUAUAUAAUUCUAUUGUAGACAACUAAACAUUUGGAAUCGUUUGAACCAAUCAUAUAUUCUUGUAAUUGGUAGAAGUUCCCAAGGCACUACCACUAAACAUAUUGUCUCAAGAAUCACAAUGGAGAGAACUAAUCACUAGAGCCACUUAAGAAAUUAAAAAUAAUAAAUAAUAAUAACAAUAAAAGUCACACACUACAAUGGGCUUACACAAGCAUCACAAAGGUCACUAGAAAGGGAAAAAUGAACUGAUGCAUUGACAUGGGAAGCCCUCAUUUUACACAAAACACACACACUAAUCACAAAAAAAAAAUAAUAAUAAUAAUAAUAAAAAAAAAAAAAUUGAGCACCAUGCAAACAAAAUACUCCCUCAAGUGCCAAGGGUACUAAAGAGAGAAAUCUUGCACUUAGAUGACAUAAAAAAUUUUCUUCAUUUUUUUAUCCCAUUAAAAAAUGUUCUAAUAUUAGUGCAGAGUUAUUGACUAAAUUGGAAGUCAAAUCAAAGAAUAGUAACUAUUUUUUUCGCUCAUAAACCAUACGAAAAAAGGGAAACUCUACUUAGAUCUUUCAAGAAAAUUCCCAAAAUCCAAAUUUCAAUGGCUUAAAAUCAGAACAAUCAAAGUUAGGUUUGGGAUCCCUAUUGAUCGUAUGAUGGCUUCAAAUGAGAUAACAACCUCUAAAUCCUACAAAGCAAACCCUAUAUUCUUGAGAAAAACAUAGGAUAUCUCAAUUGAGAAGGAGAGAAAAAGGAAAAUACAAGGUGACCUAACAUAAAUGAAGCCCCAUCUAUGCUAACCCAAGAUGCAUCCUCCUCUCCAAACUUAGAAAGGUGUGUUUUGCUGGACUUGAUUUUGCAGUUGUGUCCGUAUGAAAGAUGUCUGAAAUCUCGCCUAACUCUUAUCACUAAUUACAUUUCAUGAUUCUAGUUCAAUAUAGUAAGUCAUAGAUCCUUGAUGCCAAGUGAUUUGUUAAAAAUAAAAAAGGCGUAGGAUCAGAAUAUUGAAAAAAAGGUUGGACCAAAAAAGAAAGAAAGAAAUGGAAGGGUGUUUUUCUUCAAUGGGAGAAUUAGUAAAGCCCUUUGAAAAUCCAAUACUAAUGAUUUGUAUGGCUUGUGGCAAAUAAGAAAGUCAAUAGUAAAAAUUUGCUUCAAGUAAGCAAGGUCUUCUGAAACGUUUGGUCUAGAGUGGUGUGUCAUGUGCAAGGGGAAGUACGGAAUUAGUUGUUCAUGUGUUUUCAAAUUGCCUCACAACCUUGGCUUAGUGAUAUAGAGGGUUUGAGCAAUUCCAACUCUCUAGUCAACUUCGCAAAUAGUUACGAGAUGUGGCAUUCAACUGAAUGAGAAACAACAUGCCAUACAACAUCCAAUUUGCACUUCCAACAAUCAAAUAUAGUGGCAGUGAUGACAUUUAGAAAUUCUAACAAUGAUGCAUCAUCUUGAACCAUGAUGCAUCAUACAAAUCACAACAUAUUGAUUGUGAUGACAUAAGUUUUUUUUAGAAGGAAUUGAUUACCAUCUCAACAUUUGUGUUCCAACCUCUUUAUAUAUGUAUGAUAAAUUGUUCCCCUAUAACAGGAGGUUUUGAUUGUGAUAUAACCAUGAAGGACUUUGCAACUGGGAAUUCAAACUAUGAAACUUUCUUGUCUAAAAUAUUGACAAUGGUCAUUCUUUGCAAUUUAAACUUUAUGAGUCUUUGAUCAUGCGUAAUGAAUUUAGUGAUGUUAGGAUUUUCAAGUAAUUCCUAAAUCUUGUGUGAAUUUCACGAAUCUUUACAAUGUCUUUGUUUCUUAAGGAGUCAUAGUCCCCUCUAAAUCCUAAUGGCAAUGUAAUCUCUACCUCUACCUAGGUGAUUUACUAGUGAAACCUGUGAUAUUGUGAUGACAAUGUUUUCAUUAAAAUGCAUCAAAAGUUAUAUGUUACAGAAAAAAAAAAAAAAAAAAAAAAGCAUGUACCCUUUCAUGUAGGGCUGAUAUGGAUUCCAUCAUCAAUUCUGUUUGUAAAGGCAAGAAAUUAAAUUCAUAAGGUACAAAGCAUCCGAAUCAGUAAUGUGUAUAUGAUUACACAAAAUAACAUUUUUAAUUUUAUGACUAGAUCAUAGCAUUUAUUUGUUAUUAAUGCUACUACCUUAGUAAUUAAAGGCGUGGUCAACACAUAGUUUAGUUUAUUUUUAAUUUUCAUUAAGAAUCAUGAAGAUUCAAAUAGGAGUUAAAGCUCAUUACAAAAAUCUCCUCAACGAUUUUACAUCAACACAUAGUUUAGUUUAUUUUUAGUUUUCAUUAAGAAUCACAAUGAUUCCAAAAAUAGAAGUUAAAACCCAUUCCAAAAACCUCCUCAAUGGUUUUAUAUUAACAAGAAAAAUAAGAGAAUGAUGAUUUCUCAUUGAACAAAAUAAUUGGUACACAACAAUAUAUAUAUAUUGUUCCAGGAAAAAAACUAAUUUAGAAAAGUCAAACCUAUAAAUCCCAUGAUUGAAGGGAUUAUUUUCCUAACUAAAUAUAUACACACUGAUUUUUCAAUUAGGUUAUAACAACUGUACAAUUCAACAUAUAUCAACACAUAGUUUAGUUUCUUUUUAAUUUUCAUUAAGAACGACAAAGAUUCAAAAAUAGGAGUUAAAACCUAUUCCAAAAAUCGCCUCCAUGGUUUAACAACAAGAUAACAAGUAUGAGUGGAUGGACUCCAAGGAGGGAUGGUUUUUUCCCUAAAAAAAACUAGGAGGAAGAGAGAAACCCAAAGUUAGUAUUCCUUAUGAAAGCUAGGUCAUAGACCAUAACAUGUUGCAGAUGGAGUUAACGAGACAUUUUCGAGCAUAGUAGGUUUGGUUUCUUCAUGAAUAAUUCAGUUGCUCUCAACUCAUGUAUUCUCUCUUAAAUUGUUUCAUAUAUUUUUGAGUGCUUAAGCCAAAUCUUAAAUUUAACAUAAUAGUUGGAUAAACCCUAGUUUUUAUAAAUAGGUAUAUAAGGUUUGACUUCUUGAGCUCUCAUUCUCUUUCCAAUUUGUAAGUUUUAUAUGGGUCAAUUUUAAAAUUCUCGACUCAUUUCUCUUCACCAUACUUGAGGUAUUGUUCCUAUAAAUCUGUGUUAGUUUGCUUUAUGCUUUAAUCGUAAAAAACUUACAAUUUUUUUAAAAAUAUUUUAAACAUUUCUAUAUUAAAAAUUGUAAAUGGCCAAGGAUUAAGAUGUUGAAACGAUGUUAGAAUGGUAUAUCAACCAAGCUCACGAGCAAGUCGAGGGAGGAAGGAAUAGGUUGUGGGGGGUAUAGGGAGGGGGGAGGGGGUGCUGAAUGGACCUUAAUAGGACAUUCUCCUAAGUGACAACUUUAAGGAGAUCCACUAAGUUAUUGAAAAGUACACAAAACAAACACUAAAUAUCAAAUUUUUAUUCCCAUAUAAAUUUUAGGGGGAAAAAACUAUUUGAUGUUAGUAAUAAUAUUUAGUUAAGUAAUUAAUUUUAAAAACUUGAGAACAAUAAUAGUAGUAACAUGUGUGAACCCUCAAGGAAGUAUUAGGAAUGUAAGAGCUAGAAGUUAUUAUUGUUUGGGUUUGAUAAUCAAAAUCCAUAAUACGUUGCAUGGGUUGCACAUGUAAACACAUCCAUAGUGGACAAUUUUUCUUUCUUGGGCUUCCCAGGGUUAGAGGUGGUUAAGAAAUUCAGUGCUUAGAUUCGUUAAAUUAUUGACCCAUCUCACGAUUUUGGGUGUUACUUUUGUUGGAAAUGGAGGUAUAUGAAGUGGGGUAUGAAACUGCAUAGCUAGGCUAAGAGCUAGAUUGGAAGAGUUUUCUAUUGGAUUUUUUGCACUUCCUCCCAAGCUUCUUCUAACUUUGGGUUCUUUUGUUAAGCCUUUUAGGAGCGUCUCUUCUAUGGUUUUCUAGCUUUUCUUUUAUAAUGCUUGAGCAAAUAACUCAUCUUUCCUAGAGAUUUCCCUUUCUUUUAAGACAACAAGGCAAUAUAAUCUCUACCAAGUAUCUUUAGUUUGAGAAGUAAUGAGAAUUGUGUGGUCCAAGAAUAUUGAGCGAACUUUGUUAUAUUUCAAAGGACCCUAUAAAAUAUUAAGUCCUUGUAUUUAUUAAAUUUAACACGCAGUCUUAACACUUGAAAUCAAAAUCACGGGCUUUGACAUAUAAUAGGAUUAUGGGAUUUGAGAAGUUCAAAUCACAAAAUUUUGAAUUCUGUGAGAUUUCAACUCCCUUGAAUUAUUAAAUUUCUACUCUUCAAAAGUUAGGAUUUUGAUAUUGCAAUUUGCACAAAUUAAGAUCAGCUAUGUUAUUUGGGAUAGUUUGGUGAAGUAGAAGGUUUCCCGUUGCACGUAGGUUAUGUUCAAGUAAUUCAAGUGCAAAAAAGAAUCAAAGCCAACUUAAUUAUUUUAGUUCAACCUAAAGAUCAAUUCACCAAUUUGUUUGCAUUUAAAAAUAUAUUUGAAUUAUUAUCAUGAUAUAGAAAUAAAAGAUAAAAUCAAAGCAUAACUAAAAUUAAUAAACACUAAUUCUUAAGUGGAUUGGAUUUGGAUUAGUAGGAUUGGAUUUUGUUCAACUAAGAUCAUCCUUUGGGUAAUUAAUGGAGGAAAUACAUUGAGGUAGGACAAGAGUAGACACAUCCAACUUUAAAAUUGUUGAGAAAGCAAUUUUUUUUUCUUUAUUCAAAAGUAAGAUUUUGGGAAUUUUGUGGUUCUUGUUUAGAAAGUCAAAUAUUUUUCUACUCUUAUUGUUGGAAGAUUUUGUGGAUCUUGUGUAUCUUUUAGCAUUCACUUUUUUGUUAGGUUUGGAUUGUAUAUCAUUUCAGUUUCAUUUUCUUGUAUCACAACUGUAUAUAUAUGCUAUAAUUUUUUUUUCUUGAAUAAAUCAAACAAAAUUAAUUCCAAUUUUCCUCAUAUCAUAGUAAUUUAAGGUUCUAGACUUUUUUUUUUGGUUGGCCUUCAUUGUCAAUGGUUUCAACCAGCGUUCAUUGUUGGUGUAUUUCCUCUUAAUCUAUCCAAAUGUCUAAGGUAACAUCUAAAUAUUAUGAUUGAUCAGUAGGGCAAUCAUCUAGCCCUUAUGAAAAUCCUACACAUAUGCUAAACAACUAGAACUUCCUACAAUGGUCGUAGUGCGUGAAUUUUUUUGUGGAAAACUAUGGUUUUUAGUCAUUGCAUUCCUAACAAAAUGAUAUAUAGUAUUUAUAGUAUAUAAUAGAAAACUAAAUUUCAUAAAAUUAGGAAGUUGUUUAAUUCCUUGAAAUCCUCUACUUUACAAAUAAAACAAGAAAUGUAUAGCUAUACAAUCUCGAAAUUAGGGAAUUAAUUCCCUAGUAUUUUCAAUCAAUCUAGAAAAAGGGGGAGUUAAUUUUUUGGUAUCUUCAAUCAAAUUCGUCAACACUCCCCCUCAAGAUGAUGAGUAGAUAUUAUCUAUUUCCUAUUUUGCUACUUUUCUAAAAUGAGUAAUUGGGUAGGUCCUUUGUUAGGAUAUCAACAAGUUGCCCAUCUAAAGGAUUUGAAGGAGUAUAGAUUAGUCCAGUUUCUCUUUGAUAAAGUGUCAACCCACUUCAACAUCUUUUGUACGACCAUAUUGGACUAGGUUAUAAACAGUAUCCUAGAUCAUCAAUAAAUAUUUUCAACCAAAGUAGUUCACAGAUUCUUUAUGCUAUGAUUUUGAACUUUGCUUUUGCACUAAACCUAACAACUACAACUUGUUACUUCUUUAUCUCAUCAAAUUUCCUCCAAAAACAGUACAAUACCCAAUGGUUGAUCUGUGGUCUAUUACUAAUUCAUACCAAUUUGCAUCAGUGUAAGCUUCCAAACUUAAAUUUCAUUUCUCUUGAUGAGCAUUUCCUUAUUUGUAGUAGAUUUUAGGUAUCACAAAAUUCUAUGUCCAACCUAUAAGUGAUGCCUUUUUAGGGGAGUGCAUGAACUAGCUUACUACACUCACCACAUAGGCUAUAUUAUCUCUUGUGAUAAAUAAAUGAGCCUCCCAACUACCCUUAGGUAACUCCUCCUGUCUAUGGCUACAUUUUCUUAUGCUUCUCCAAGCUUAUAAGUUUAUUCAAUAGGUGUGUCAACAAGCCUGCAUUUGAGCAUCCCAAUUCUUUAAGAAGAUGGAAAAUAUACCUUUAUUGGGGGGGGGGGGGGGGGGAAAUCAUUUCUUGAAAGAAUCCCUUCAAUUCCCCAGCAAAAUUUGUACUUACCCGUCUUUUAUCUCCAAUUUUAUGGGGAACCCUUUUUUAAUUUUCUUCAAAAUUAUCCCCCUUCCAAAUUUUAUCCUCUACAUAAAAAAUNNNNNNNNNNNNNNNNNNNNNNNNNNNNNNNNNNNNNNNNNNNNNNNNNNNNNNNNNNNNNNNNNNNNNNNNNNNNNNNNNNNNNNNNNNNNNNNNNNNNUUGUGAAAAAUAAAUGAGCUUCCCAACUACCCUUAGGUAACUCUUCCUGUUUAGGGCUACAUUUUUUUAUGUUUUUCCAAGCUUUUAAGUUUUUUCAAUAGGGGGGUCAACAACCCUGCAUUUGGGCUUCCCAUUUUUUUAAGAAGAGGGAAAAUAUCCCUUUUUUGGGGGGGGGGGGGGGGGGAUAUCAUUUCUUGAAUGAGUCACUUCAAUUCCCAAGCAAUAUUUGUACUUACCAGUCUUUUAUCUCGAAUUUUAUGGCGAACCUUUUUUUAAUUUUCUUCAAAAUUAUCCUCUUUCAAAAUUAUAUCAUCUACAUAAAUAAUUAAGGUUAUGAUUUUAUCAAUUAUUGGUCAUUUAAUAAAGCAAGUACGAUCCCUUAUUUAAUAAAGAGAGACUGAUCCCCUUAGCUUUAUCAGAACUUCCAAUUAAGCUGUAAUACCUAGCACUAAUGAAUUAAAUAGGCAAUAAUGAUUAUCUUAGUACUUAACUUUAAACGUGCUUAAUUAGAUGUUAAAACUAGUUUAGUGCUUAUCUUAUUUAAUUAUGAAUUAAACUUUGAUUAAGGUUAAGUGGGAUUAGUUAAUGACUUAAACAUGCUUAUUAUGUUCUUUGGGGCAGAUUAGAGUUAUGAAAACCUAAAGGGCUAAUGGGUAGUUGUAGGUUUAAUAUUGGUUAACUAGGAGGACUAAAUUGCAAUAUUGGGAAAGUUGGGGUUGGUGGCAGCCAUGUGGCCUGCCAUCACCUACUUGGCUACAUGAGGACCUCUUUAUAAGGGCUUGCAGCCACGUUUUGGAGCAUUGUCCCUACAAUAGCCUGGAUUAGAGAGAGAAUCUAGAGAGAGAAAGUAAAGAUUUGAGUUCCUUGUAAUAGGUAAAGAUCACCUAUAUAAAAGAAUCACAAAAGGGAAGUCAAUGUAAGACAAAAUGCCUAGAGCAAGGAACAGAUUAACAGCAAGGCCUAGACCAUCAAUGAGAUCAUCUCCACUAUCUCAUGGUAAUGGACUUGAGGGAAGGACUACAAUAUACCCAGCUGCUGGUUUAGAAUACCAGAAUGUGAGCUUAAUUCGAGAAUUAAAAGCACUGACUCCUCUAAUCUUUCGAGGUGUGAUAGCUUGACAAUCCUGUCACAAAGUCCAUGGUCACAUGAUCCCAUUUCCAUUUUGCUAUAGGUAGUGGUUGUAACAACCCUACUGGCUUCUGAUGUUCAACUUUCACUUGUUGACAUGUUAAACACUUGGAACGAAUUGAGCUAUAUACCGCUUCAUACCUUGCCACCAAUAUUGACGCCUCAAAUCAUGGUAUAUUUUAGUUUCUCCAAGGUUUAUUGUGAACUGAGAAUGAUGAGCUUCCUUCAUUACCUCCUCCUUCACCCGAGCAUCAUUAGGAACACAAAGUUUAUUCAAGAAAUAAAUCCCACUAAUAGAAUGUAUACUUCAACCUUCCACUGCGUCACCUGCCAUAAUUUGAGAGUGCAUGCCCUCUAACUUUGUAUCUUUCUUUUGAGCUUCAAUAACUUUAUGCAAUGUUGUUGGUUGAGUUACCAAAGUACAAAAAGAUGCACCAGAAUCACGUACAUCAAAACAAGGAUUGAACUCAUUGAUGUAAUCAUACAUUUUCCACUCAGAAACCACCAACCCAAAUAACACACAUUGAGCUUUUCUACUUAGGGCAUCAACAACCACAUUGGCUUUUCCUGGAUGAUACAACAAUGUAAAGUUAAAAUCUUCAAGGGUUUCCAUCCAUCUCAUUUGCCUUGCAUUCAGAUCUUUUUGAGAGAAAAAUGUACUUCAAACUUUUGUGAUCAGAAAACACCUCAAAAUUUUCACCAUAUAAGUAAUGUCUCCAUAACUUUAAAGCAAAGACUAUGGCUACUAGUUCGAGAUCAUGUGUAGGAUAGUUAUGCUCAUGGUUCUUCAAUUGUUUAGAAGAAUAAGCAACCACUCUUCCUCUUAGCAUCAAAACACAUCCCAAGCCAUUUCUUAAAGCAUCAUAAUAAAUUGUAUAUCUUUCCCCACUAAUAGGAGUAAUUAGCAUUGUUAGUCUUCUUUUUAGCUCUUGAAAAUAUUCUUCACACUUGUCAUUCCAAUCAAAGUUCACUCCCUCGCGUGUCAGUCUAGUCAUUGGGCAUGCAAUUCGAGAAAAUUUUUCAACAAACCUUCUGUAGUACCCAGCUAAUCCAAGAAAACUAUGUACUUCAAAAACAUUCUUGGGUAUUUCCCACUUUGUCACAACUUCCACUUUUGUUGGAUCCACUGAGAUACCCUCUUUAGAAACCAUGUGCCCCAAAAAUUGAAUUUCCUGUAUCCAAAAGUCACAUUUCUCCAAUUUGGCAUAUAACUGGUGUUCUCUAAGUGUUUGAAUUGCCAAAUGCAAAUGAUGACCAUGCUCUUCUAAACUCUUAGAAUAUAUCAAAAUAUCAUCCACAAAUACCACCACAAAAUGAUCCAAGUAAGGUCGAUAAAUACGAUUCAUCAUGUCCAUGAUGCAGUCGAAGCAUUGGUUAAUCCAAAUGGCAUGACAAGAAACUCGUAAUGUCCAUACCUUGUAUGAAAUGCAAUAUUUGGAAUAUCUGAUUCUCGUAUCCUUAACUGAUGAUAACCAGAUUUUAAAUCAAUCUUAGGAAAAUAGCAAGCCCCACAUAACUGGUCAAAUAAGUCAUCAAUCCGAGGUUAUGGAUAUUUGUUUUUUACUGUUACUUUAUUCAAUUUUCUUUAAUCCACACAUAAUAGCAAGAAUCCAUCCUUCUUCUUCACAAACAAUACUAGAGCGCCCCAAAGUGAGGUACUAGGCCGAAUAAACCCUUUACUUUGCAACUCUUGCAACUGAAGGUUCAAUUCUUUAAGUUCAACUGGAGCCAUCCUGUAUGGAGCUAUUGAUAUUGGAUCUGUACCUGGAUACAAUUCUAUGGAAAAAUCCAUCUCUCUAUGAGGAGGUAAACAUGGAAAUUCUUUAGUAAAAACAUCAGCAAAUUCACAAACCAUUGGAAUACAAUCUAUUGUUGUCUUCUUUUUGCCUUCUCCCUGCAUAUUAAAAAGAAAAUAUUGUCUGCCAUCCUUUCUUGACCACUUGUCAUCUAGGUUUCGAAUUAGUGGAAUAAUUGUAAGCCUUUUGUCACCAUAGAAACUCAAAUAUGAACCAGAAGAGGUUUGAAAUGUUACUUUCUUCAAAUAACAGUCUAAUACAACAUGAUGUCGGGCUAGCCAAUCCAUCCCCACAAUUACAUCAAAUGAUGAAAUAUUAAGAAGAACUAGAUCCAUUAUAACUUCAACACCCCCAAUAUAUAGUACAGAAGCAUGACACACCCACUUGGUUUCCACCUUACCACCCAUAGGAGUCAACACAUAAUGAACAAUGAAGGGGAACAAAUUCUAUGUCUAGUAAGGAGGCAAAUGAUGCAGAAGUAAAAGAGUGGGUAGCUCUCGAAUAAAAUAAAACAUGUGCCCAAGUGCUAAAACAUAAGAUCAUAUCUUCCACUAAGGCAUUUGAUUCUACAUUUUGUGACCCCAAUGCAUAAAAUCUCUCUUGUUGUCCUUGCUCUGGCGUCCAUCCAGGCUUUCCUUGUCUAAAGUUUCCUUCCCCUUGAGGUUGCCUUCCUUGCAUUCGUGAGUUCAUCUGUUGAAAAUGCCGUUAAGAUGGCUAGUAUGCAAGUCUUUGAAAUUUUGGGCACUCCCUCCUAAGAUGUCCCACCUCACCACAUUCAUAACAUCUCCUUGUUCCCUUGGCCCAAUCUGUAGUCCCACUAUAUUGCUCUUGUUUUAUGGCUUGUUGUUGGGGAUGAGUCACUUUCUGGUGCUUGAAAUCUCGUUCUCGUUUUUCUGAACCACCAAACCUUCCGCUUCUCAAUCUUUGAGCUUCCUCCAUUUCCUUUUCUAUAAUAAGAGCCCUUGCCACAACCUCACUGUAAGUAUGGAGCAUGAAGGGAGCGACCUAUGCCCUAAUGUUCAAUCUCAACUCUUCUUGGAAUUGAGUAGCUUGCAUUUUGUUCAUCUGCCACCACAUUCGGAGCAUAUCUAGAUAGUUGUGUAAACUUUGAUGCAUAUUCAGUCAUUGUCAUGUUCCUUUGAACCAAGUGUAUAAACUUUAAGCAAUAAAAAUUCUAGGUUUGGUAGUUCAGAAAAACGGGAACAAGGUUUCAAGAGCCAGAAAGUGACUCAUCCCCAACAACCACCCGUAAAACAAGAGCAAUAUAGUGGAACUACAGAUUGGGUCAAGGGAACAAGGAGAUGUUAUGAAUGUGGUGAGGUGGGACAUCUUAGAAGGGAGUGCCCAAAAUUUCAACGACUUGCAUACCAGCCAUCUCAAUGACAGUUUCAGUAGAUGAACUCACGAAUGUAAGGAAGACAACCUCAAGGGGAAGGAAACUCUAGACGAGGAAAGCCUGGAGGAAAGCCAGAGUAAGGACAAUAAGAGAGAUUUUAUGCAUUGGGGUCACAAAAUGUAGAAUCAAAUGCCUUAGUGGAAGGUAUGAUCUUAUGUUUUAGCACUUGGGCACAUGUUUUAUUUGAUUCGGGAGCUACCCACUUUUUUAUUUCUGCAUCAUUUGCCUCCUUGCUAGAUGUAGAAUUUGUUCCCCUUCAUUUUUCAUUAUGUGUUGAGACUCCUAUGGGUGGUAAGGUGGAAACCAAGUGGGUGUGUCAUGCUUGUGUACUUUAUAUUAGGGGUCCUGAAGUUACAAUGGCUAUGGUUCUUCUUGAUAUUUCAUCAUUUGAUGUAAUUGUGGGGAUAGAUUGGCUAGCCCGACAUCAUGCUGUAUUAGACUGUUAUUUGAAGAAAGUAACAUUUCAAACCUCUUCUGGCUCAUAUUUGAGUUUCUAUGAUGAUAGAAGGCUUACAAUUAUUCCACUAAUUCGAAACCUAUAUGACAAGUGGUCAAGAAAGGAUGUCAGACAAUAUUUUCUUUUUAAUAUGCAAGGAGAAGGCAAAAAGAAAACAAUAGAUUGUAUUCCAAUGGUUUGUGAAUUUGCUGAUGUUUUCCCUAAAGAUUUCCAUGUUUACUUCCUCACAAAGAGAUGGAUUUUUCUAUAGAAUUGUAUCCAGGUACAGAUCCAAUAUCAAUAGCUCCAUACAGGAUGGAUCCAGUUGAACUUAAAGAAUUGAACAUUUAGUUGCAAGAGUUGCAAAGUACAGGGUUUAUUAGGCCUAGUACCUUACCUUAGGGCACUCUAGUAUUGUUUGUGAAGAAGAAGGAUGGAUCCUUGCGGUUAUGCGUGGAUUACAGAAAAUUGAACAGAGUAACAGUGAAAAAAAAUAUCCAUUACCUCGAAUUGAUGACUUAUUUGACUAGUUAUGUGGGGCUUGCUAUUUUUCUAAGAUUGAUUUAAGAUCUGGUUAUCAUCAGUUGAGGAUACAAGAAUCAGAUAUUCCAAAGACUGCAUUUCAUACAAGGUAUGGACAUUACGAGUUUGUUGUCAUGCCAUUUGGAUUAACCAAUGCUUCAGUUGCAUUCAUGGACAUGAUGAAUCGUAUUUAUCAACCUUACUUGGAUCAUUUUUUGGUGGUUUUUGUGGAUGAUAUUUUGAUAUAUUCUAAGAGUCAAGAAGAGCAUGGUCAUCAUUUGCAUUUGGCACUUCAAACACUUAGAGAACACCAGUUAUAUGCCAAAUUGGAGAAAUGUAACUUUUGGAUGUAGGAAAUUCAAUUUUUGGGGCACAUGGUUUCUAAAGAGGGUAUCUCAGUGGAUCCAACAAAAGUGGAAGUUGUGACAAAGUGGGAAAGACCCAAGAAUGUUUUUGAAGCACAUAGUUUUCUUGGAUUAGCUGGGUACUAUAGAAGGUUUGUUGAAAACUUUUCUUGAAUUGCAUGCCCAAUGACUAGACUGACACGCAAGGGAGUGAACUUUAAUUGGAAUGACAAGUGUGAAGAAUCUUUUCAAGAGCUAAAAAGGAGACUAACAACAACGCCUGCGCUAAUUACUCCUAUUAGUAGGGAAAUAUAUACAGUUUAUUGUGAUGCUUCAAGAAAUGGCUUGGGAUGUGUUUUGAUGCAAAGAGGAAGAGUGGUUGCUUAUGCAUCUAGGUAAUUGAAAAACCAUGAGCAGAACUAUCCUACACAUGAUCUUGAACUGGUAGCCAUAGUCUUUGCUUUAAAUUUAUGAAGACAUUACUUAUAUGGUGAAAAUUUUAAGGUGUUUUCUUAUCACAAAAGUUUGAAGUACAUUUUCUCUCAAAAAGAUCUGAAUGCAAGGCAAAGGAAAUGGAUGGAAACCCUUGAAGAUUUUAACUUUACAUUGCAGUAGCAUCUAGGUUGUUGAUCCCCUAAGUAGAAAAACUCAAUGUGUGUUAUCUGGGUUGGUGGUUUUUGAGUGGAAAAUGUAUGAUUACAUUAGUGAGUUCAAUCCUUUUUUGAUGUACGUGAUUCUGGUGCAUGUUUUUGUACUUUAGUAGCUCAGCUAACAAUAUCGCAUAAGGUUAUUGAAGCUCAAAAGAAAGAUACAAAGUUAAGAGGGCAUGCGCUCUCAAAUUAUGGCAGGUGACGUAUUGGAAGGUUGGAGCAUACAUUCUAAUGGUAGCAUUUAUUUCUUGAAUAAACUUUGUGUUCCUAAUGAUGCUCAGGUAAAGGAGGAGGUAAUGAAGGAAGCUCAUCAUUCUCGGUUCACAGUACACCCUGGAGAAACUAAAAUGUACCAUGAUUUGAGGCAUCAAUAUUGGUGGCAACGUAUGAAGUGGGAUAUAGCUCAAUUCGUUUCCAAGUGUUUAAUAUGUCAACAAGUGAAAGUUGAACAUCAGAAGCUAGCAGGGUUGUUACAACCACUGCCUAUAGUAGAAUGGAAGUGGGAUCAUGUGACCAUGGACUUUGUGACAGGAUUGCCAAGUUGUCACACCCCGAAAGAUUAGAGGAGUUAGUGCUUUAAAUUCUCGAAUUAAGCUCACAUUCUGGUAUUCUGAACCAGCAAUUGGGUAUAUUGCAAUCCUUCCCUCAGUUCCAUUACCAUGAGAUAGUGGAGAUGAUCUAGUUGAUUGUCUGGGCCUUGUUGUUAAUCUGUUCCUUGCUUUAGGCAUUUUGUCUUGCACUGACUUCCCUUUUGUGAUUCUUCUAUGUAGGCGAUCAUUACCUAUUACAAGGUACUCAAAUCUUCACUUUCUUUCUAUAGAUUUUCUCUCUAACCUAGGUUAUUGCACGAACAAUGCUCCAAAACAUGGCUGUAGGCCCUUAUAAAGGGGUCUCCAUGCAGCCAAGUAGGAGGUAGUAGGCCACAUGGCUGCCACCAACCCUAACUUUCCCAAUAUUGCAAUUCAGUCCUCCUUGUUAACCAAUGUUAAACCUACAACUACCCAUUAGUCCUUUAGGUUUUCAUAACUCUAAUCAGCCCCUAAGAACCUAAUAAGCAUGCUUAAGUCAUUAACUAAUCCCACUUAACCUUAAUCAAAGUUUAAUUCAUAAUUAAACAAGAUUAGCAUUAAAUUAAUUUUAACAUCUAAUUAAGCACGUUUAAAGUUAAGUACUAAGAUAAUCAUUAUUGCCUAUUUAAUUCAUUAGUGCUAGGUAUUACAUGAGCCCUCAUUUUUUAAUAGGUUUAACCUAAGCCUAAGGGUAAGACCAAAACUCAAGCCCAUAAAAGUCUAAACCCAUUAAUACACAUUGAAUAUUCAAAGCUUACAAAAUCCAUUAAUACACAUUGAAUAUUUGAAGCUUACAUCUCGAUAAAGUGAGAUUUAAACCUCUUAAACCUCAAGUACUCUAUGUUAAGGCUAUAGCCAUAAGGUAACUCAUAGCAUAUUUUAGUAAGAAGGGAGGCCUCAAGCAUAUUUUUAGUAAGUUGAAUACUUCAAAGAUGGAUUACUUAACAUAUGUUAAGGAGUUCUAUGCAUUGGUGCAAACUUUGAGGCAUUGGCAACAUUAGCUCAUCCAAGAAGACUUUGUUUUAUAAUUUGAGUCCUCAAAUAUUUACAUGGAUGAUGAUGGUUCGAUAGAGAUGUGGAAUUAGUUCCUUCAAUAAAACAUUAAACUUCUAUGAUUCAACAUCAGUAAGGUGAUUCAGGUCAGAAAAACAAACUUGUGCAUGCCCUUAGAGGGAAGGCAAUGUCAUUGUCUAUACUUUAUGCACAAUUGCUAGGAUUUGAGACUUAUAAACUUUGGACCAGAAUUUGUACCAUUUGGACCGUUAUUUUGACCAUAUUCAAAAAGGGUGUUGACAUGAAAUAUGCAAGAUUUUCCUGCUGCUUGGUUUUUUGUUCAAAGGACUAGGUUCAUUAUUCGUGUGUGUUUGAUUGCCUUCUCAAGGAGAAAAUUUGAUUUCAGAUCCAUAACGAGGGACACCUUGAUUGUUGCAAGAUUUAUGAUUUGGUUGCGACUAAUUAUUAUUGGCCUUCUUUGGAUAGGGGUGUGUAUCGACUUGUUGAAAGAUGUUAUUCUUGUCAGGUUGCAAAAGGUUCAACUCUAGUGUAGGCCCUUUUCCACCUUGACUAGUGCCAAAUGCUCCACAAACAAAUGUGAGCAUGGAUUUGGUAUUUAGAUUGCCACAUAUAUAUGGGGCAUAGAUCUUGUAAUGGUAAUGGUGCAAUGUUUUUCUAAGCAGGCUUGUUCAAUAUAGGGAUCAUGAACAGUACCUUUUUGGAGAAUAUUAGUUAAUUCUAGAAUCCAUUUCAUCAUCUAAUAGCGACAACCGUAUUUUUGUGUAGAAUGACUAAGGAUACAACCUAGAUUGCCAAUUUACACUUUUCAUCUUCAUGGAAUUCUAAAAUAUAAUCUUUAUAUGGAGAUGCCAAGUUAGUUAUUCACUUUUAAGAUUUAAAUUAUAGUACAAUUUACCAUCCUGAAACACUGAAACAGAUAACAAACAGAAAUCUGGCGAAACAGUUGACUUUUCUUACUCAGUUCAGUUUUCUUUCUAUAGGUUAAAGAGUUGCACUACAUAACUUAGUCCUUUUAUAGCAAAUUAAUUAUAUUUGAAAUCCUAAUUGCAUUUUGGAUAUAGCACCAUUUCUACUUGAAGGGAGAGUUAGUUUGAAGGUCAAGGACAUGAUUGAUGACACCUAUGCUAUUCAGGAGGACUGAAGAAGUUCAUUGAGGUUAUUAAUAGAAAAUCUUGUGGCUUCUUGGAAAUUAACUGGUGAGUAAGAUGAGAGUUGAUUAGUAAUAAAACCCUUGUGUCAUAAAGCUGAACAUGUUGGGGUUUUAAAUAGAUACAUUUUGAGGUGCAAUUUUAUUUUAUAGUGAAGGACAGUAGUGGUUUAUAGGUAAGAGGUCCCCCCCUUGUCAGUGUCAUUAGUCUUAUUCAUAUCUAGUCACCAUGCAUUGCCCAUUACAAAUUAAGAGGCAAACAUUUUCUUACAUUAGAUAAGGGAGUACCAUGGAAUGGUUAAGGUAGUGGAAUCUGAGUUAUUACCAAUGGUGUUCAACUAUUUAUAAAAGCACAGCUGGUGGUUUGGUCUGUUUUGGGUUGGCUUUAUAAUGUGGGUGAUGUCAAAGGUGAUCUUUAUGUAAACCCUUCCAAUCCUUGGAACAAAAAGAACAAAAGGUGAGUUAUAAUUUGUACAUAUUUUGUAAGGUGAUAUUAAUUGAUGAAUUUUUCUAGUAACCUGUCAAGAGCUGGUGCUACUAAUCAAUGAAUUCUUCUUGCAACCUUCCAGCAUUAUAAGCCUUAUUUAUUUAUUUUUAUUUUCAUUAUUAUUUUUGUGAGGGAUUGGUGUCUGAGUUCUGAGUGACUGUGGUAGGUGAAAUGUUCAUCAAGGAAUAUGGAGAUUUAAGAUUAUAUCCCACAAUUUUAAUAUCCAAUUAAAAUUGAGUUCACAACUUAACUUGCUCUUCUUCAUCUAGAACUUUUCCAGUUCUCCAUUGAUCUGUUUAACAUGCAAAACAUGCUUUACUCAAAUUUAUCCCAAAUUUAGUUCCAUCUUUGGUGAUACAAUUGAUAUGGAGUUCUAGAGGAAAUAAAAUGAUGCUGAAUUUGUCAUUUAGAACUGAACAGUUCCAAGUUCACAUUGUGUAAUGUGCAUAAGCUGACCUUUCUUAUCCUUGUUCAUCUCAGUGUUGCAUCUAGUUCUUGCUCGAGUUGCACAAGGUCUGUAACAUUCAUCAGAUCGAUAUUUUGUCCUUCAACAUACCUGCAACCAUGCAACAUAAAUAUCAGUCCUUACCUUUCACAGAAAUCAUUUUGAAUUUGAGCCCUCAAACAAAUUAUCUCAAUCUCAGGAACACAUAACAGGCACUGAUAUUAUUACCCCUGCAUCAAUUGUAGUAUGUCACAGCAUUUGCCUGGAGUUGUACGUGCUGGAUGAUGCUUCUGUCAAAUCACAGAAACGUACUGGUCUGUAGAUUGGAAAUUGAAUAUAUUGGCCAAGAAAAUCUAUGCAUCACCUUAAGAAAAUUAGUACUGGUUCCCCACUAGAAAUGUUGUGCUUCAGAGCUUAUUUUUUAUUUUUGAAUCUGGUAUAUGCUUCUUCUAUAUGUACUAUCUAGAAAAUUUCCUCACUUGUUCCAACUAGAUCUUAAUAUUGGAUCUUUC
Molecule: long non-coding RNA, 21631 nt
Filed under: Vitis vinifera (wine grape)
Lineage: Eukaryota; Viridiplantae; Streptophyta; Magnoliopsida; Vitales; Vitaceae
Description: long non-coding RNA (VVIN_LNC002413)
Source: RNAcentral